RNAcentral lists this transfer RNA (73 nucleotides) under Ictidomys tridecemlineatus (thirteen-lined ground squirrel). RNAcentral's name for it is "Spermophilus tridecemlineatus (thirteen-lined ground squirrel) tRNA". It matches the Rfam family "tRNA". Rfam says of the family: Transfer RNA (tRNA) molecules are approximately 80 nucleotides in length. Their secondary structure includes four short double-helical elements and three loops (D, anti-codon, and T loops). The record is from Rfam by way of RNAcentral. Lineage: Eukaryota; Metazoa; Chordata; Mammalia; Rodentia; Sciuridae.
GGGGAUCUAGCUCAGUUGGUAGAGUGCUUGCUUAGCAUGCACAAGACCCUGGGUUCAAACCCCAGCACCACCA